This 253-nucleotide ribosomal RNA is filed under the name uncultured bacterium. RNAcentral describes it as "partial 16S ribosomal RNA". It matches the Rfam family "Bacterial small subunit ribosomal RNA", at positions 524 to 776 of the family's 1533-position model. The record is from RNAcentral.
UACGGAGGGUGCAAGCGUUAUCCGGAUUCACUGGGUUUAAAGGGUGCGUAGGUGGGCAGGUAAGUCCGUGGUGAAAUCCCCGAGCUUAACUCGGGAACUGCCAUGGAUACUAUUUGUCUUGAAUAUUGUGGAGGUGAGCGGAAUAUGUCAUGUAGCGGUGAAAUGCUUAGAUAUGACAUAGAACACCAAUUGCGAAGGCAGCUUACUACACAGUUAUUGACGCUGAGGCACGAAAGCGUGGGGAUCAAACAGG